Molecule: ribosomal RNA, 826 nt
Filed under: uncultured bacterium
Lineage: Bacteria
Description: bacterial SSU rRNA
Rfam family: Bacterial small subunit ribosomal RNA
Source: RNAcentral
UGCAGUCGAACGAGAAGUACCCUUCGGGGUGCGAGUAAAGUGGCGAACGGGUGAGUAACACGUGGGUAACCUACCUUUGAGUGGGGAACAAUCCCUCUAACGAGGGGCUAAUACCGCAUAAUGCAGCGGCUCCGCAUGGAGACAGUUGUUAAAGGGGCAGCUUCGGUUGUCUCGCUUGAAGAUGGACCCGCGGUCCAUUAGCUUGUUGGUGAGGUAACGGCUCACCAAGGCAACGAUGGAUAGCCGGCCUGAGAGGGUGUACGGCCACACUGGAACUGAGAAAGGUCCAGUCCCCUACGGGGGCCAGCAGUCUAGAAAUUUGCGCAAUGGGCGAAAGCCUGACGCAGCGACGCCACGUGGAGGAUGAAGCCCUUAGGGGUGUAAACUCCUGUCAGAAGGGAAGAAUGCAGGAAAUAACUUUUCCUGUUUGACGGUACCUUCAGAGGAAGCCCCGGCUAACUUCGUGCCAGCAGCCGCGGUAAUACGAAGGGGGCAAGCGUUGUUCGGAUUUACUGGGCGUAAAGGGCGUGCAGGCGGACCGAUAAGUCGUCUGUGAAAUCUGUCGGCUCAACCAACAACUUGCAGUCGAAACUAUCGGUCUUGAGUACAGGAGAGGAGAGCGGAAUCUCAGGUGUAGCGGUGAAAUGCGUAGAUAUCUGGGAGAACACCGGUGGCGAAGGCGGCUCUCUGGCCUGAUACUGACGCUGAGGCGCGAAAGCUAGGGGAGCGAACGGGAUUAGAUACCCCGGUAGUCCUAGCUGUAAACGAUGGGUACUAGGUGUUGGAGGUAUUGACCCCUCCAGUGCCGCAGCUAACGCAUUAAGUA